CCUGAGUACGACGGAGCACGUGAAAUUCCGUCGGAAUCUGGGAGGACCAUCUCCUAAGGCUAAAUACUCUCUAGUGACCGAUAGUGAACCAGUACCGUGAGGGAAAGGUGAAAAGUACCCCGGAAGGGGAGUGAAAGAGAACUUGAAACCGUGUGCUUACAAGUAGUCAGAGCCCGUUAAUGGGUGAUGGCGUGCCUUUUGUAGAAUGAACCGGCGAGUUACGAUCUGAUGCAAGGUUAAGCAGAAAAUGUGGAGCCGUAGCGAAAGCGAGUCUGAAUAGGGCGAAUGAGUAUUUGGUCGUAGACCCGAAACCAGGUGAUCUACCCUUGGUCAGGUUGAAGUUCAGGUAACACUGAAUGGAGGACCGAACCGACUUAC
Molecule: ribosomal RNA, 378 nt
Filed under: Staphylococcus pseudintermedius
Lineage: Bacteria; Bacillati; Bacillota; Bacilli; Caryophanales; Staphylococcaceae
Description: partial 23S ribosomal RNA
Rfam family: Bacterial large subunit ribosomal RNA
Source: RNAcentral